AUUGAACGCUGGCGGCAUGCCUCACACAUGCAAGUCGAACGGCAGCACGGACUUCGGUCUGGUGGCGAGUGGCGAACGGGUGAGUAAUGUAUCGGAACGUGCCCAGUCGUGGGGGAUAACGUAGUGAAAAUUACGCUAAUACCGCAUACGAUCUAUGGAUGAAAGCGGGGGAUCGCAAGACCUCGCGCGAUUGGAGCGGCCGAUAUCAGAUUAGGUAGUUGGUGGGGUAAAGGCCCACCAAGCCAACGAUCUGUAGCUGGUCUGAGAGGACGACCAGCCACACUGGAACUGAGACACGGUCCAGACUCCUACGGGAGGCAGCAGUGGGGAAUUUUGGACAAUGGGCGAAAGCCUGAUCCAGCCAUUCCGCGUGCAGGAUGAAGGCCCUCGGGUUGUAAACUGCUUUUGUACAGAACGAAAAGGUUUCUACUAAUACUAGGAGCUCAUGACGGUACUGUAAGAAUAAGCACCGGCUAACUACGUGCCAGCCGCCGCCGUAA
RNAcentral lists this ribosomal RNA (500 nucleotides) under uncultured bacterium. Its description in RNAcentral is "partial 16S ribosomal RNA". It matches the Rfam family "Bacterial small subunit ribosomal RNA", at positions 30 to 523 of the family's 1533-position model. The record is from RNAcentral.